UGUUUGGACAUUGUAUGAACAAUGUACAUAAUUAUCACAUCCGUACAAUAUUGUGCGAACGUGAUAAUUAUGUAUAUUGUAAUAACGUGAUAUUAUAUUAUACAAACAUGCAAAGCAUAAUGUUAGAACAAUAAACAUUUCACCUUAUAACGUGAUAUAGCUCUAUUUUGCUUUUGCCUGGGUGGCAGCUCCACGUUUCCAUAAUUUGGUAAUCAAAAUAUGUAACUUAAUUAAUUAUGUUGUGACGUACUUUUGCCUUUUCUUAUUAUUCUGCCUUCUCAGAAAGGGAAAAAAAUACAAAUAAUAUUGUUUACACUUGUUAUAUACAAUAACUAUCAAAACCUAUUCACAUUUAAUUUGGCUUUCACAGAAAUCCCACCUCUCCUUCUGGCUACAGAGCACUUACUUACCAAGCCCAUGAAAUCGAAUGCAGAUCUUCCUGAUGUGAGAUUUACAUAAAUGUAAGUAAUUUUGUUUGUCAUUGUCAUUAAUGUUGUUGCUGUUGUUGUUUUUGUGAAGUUUGCAAUAUAAACCUAGCAAGCAUCAGUCAGCACAGUGACUAACCUAAACAGAUUCUUGCUUUAUUCACAUAUAUUAUAUGUAAUUAUAUAUACCUGCACAUUGUACCUAGGGUUCCAGCCACUUGGCCCCACCCCAUUGUUGUGACAGCCCUGACUGUACACUGCAUCUGAACAGGGAACAGUCUGCCACAUUAAUGUAUUUUUAAGUGACUUGUUUGUAAUACAUGAAUUUGCUUCUUACAGAUGUCAAAGUCUCAACCUCAUGCUGCCCUCCCCCAUCCUCCUAAACCUGUGGAUACAAAUGCAGAUUUCCUUAAUGUUCAAUGGUGCGUGUUCUUCUAAUGGCCGCCUUCCCACUGGAGGUUUUGAUCCACAGCAAUUUAAAAGGAGGACAGAGCAAAACGGACAUCGGCACAGAGUGAAGAACUGCCCUUCACAAGGACACUAUGACAGCCAUAUAUAUGGCGGUAAGGAAGAGGUUUCCCAAUGUGUCCAGAAGGGCUUUGAGGAUUGCAGUGAAAGCUGGGGGAACUGAGACUGCUGGAAAAGGAAAAGAAAUUACAUUUUAAACUCAUUCAUGCAACCCGUCUCUUCCCCAUCCCCACCUCACAGAUGUCUGAGUCAGAGCUUCAUCCAAGCCUCAGUCUUCAUUUUCAACACCACCAGGACUCCAGUGGCUGCUGUCCUAAAUCCUAUCACUGGGAUUCAGUUCUGCCAUGAUGGGUCAUUGGAGUCUAAUUGCCAAAUACAUUAAUUUCUCUAUCUAAAUAAAUCAUGUUCAGUUAUUUCAAGUUAUCUCUCCUUAUUGAAAUGGCAAAAACUCAUCAUUGCUCAUUAAAUACAAAACUUGUUUAAGCUCAACUUUAGUUUCCAAGAGUCAGCUAAAGUCAGAAGGUUAAAAGUACAUCAGGACUGUCUCAGUUAAAGGAAGAAUAAAGAAGCAACACUUGUGAUAAUAAUGCGUAACCGCUUCCAAGACAU
This 1502-nucleotide long non-coding RNA is filed under the name Oreochromis niloticus (Nile tilapia). RNAcentral describes it as "lncRNA (ENSONIG00000028866.1)". The record is from RNAcentral. Lineage: Eukaryota; Metazoa; Chordata; Actinopteri; Cichliformes; Cichlidae.